AGCGAACGCUGGCGGCAGGCCUAACACAUGCAAGUCGAACGAACCUUUCGGGGUUAGUGGCGGACGGGUGAGUAACACGUGAGAACGUGCCUUUAGGUUCGGAAUAACUCAGGGAAACUUGUGCUAAUACCGAAUGUGCCCUUCGGGGGAAAGAUUAAUCGCCUUUAGAGCGGCCCGCGUCUGAUUAGCUAGUUGGUUGAGGUAAUGGCUCACCAAGGCGACGAUCAGUAGCUGGUCUGAGAGGAUGAUCAGCCACAUUGGGACUGAGACACGGCCCAAACUCCUACGGGAGGCAGCAGUGGGGAAUCUUGCGCAAUGGGCGAAAGCCUGACGCAGCCAUGCCGCGUGAAUGAUGAAGGUCUUAGGAUUGUAAAAUUCUUUCACCGGGGACGAUAAUGACGGUACCCGGAGAAGAAGCCCCGGCUAACUUCGUG
This 434-nucleotide ribosomal RNA is filed under the name uncultured bacterium. RNAcentral describes it as "partial 16S ribosomal RNA". It matches the Rfam family "Bacterial small subunit ribosomal RNA", at positions 29 to 507 of the family's 1533-position model. The record is from RNAcentral.